GCCGAAGUGGCGGAAUUGGUAGACGCGCUAGGUUCAGGGUCUAGUGGGGGUAUCCUCGUGGAAGUUCGAGUCUUCUCUUCGGCACCA
Molecule: transfer RNA, 87 nt
Filed under: Desulfobulbus propionicus
Lineage: Bacteria; Pseudomonadati; Thermodesulfobacteriota; Desulfobulbia; Desulfobulbales; Desulfobulbaceae
Also listed under: 12 other names
Description: tRNA-Leu
Rfam family: tRNA
About the family: Transfer RNA (tRNA) molecules are approximately 80 nucleotides in length. Their secondary structure includes four short double-helical elements and three loops (D, anti-codon, and T loops).
Source: RNAcentral